CAGAGGGUGCGAGCGUUAAUCGGAAUUACUGGGCGUAAAGCGCGCGUAGGCGGCUUUGCAAGUCGGGUGUGAAAUCCCCAGGCUUAACCUGGGAACUGCAUUCGAGACUGCAUUGCUAGAGUAUGGGAGAGGGAAGUGGAAUUUCCGGUGUAGCGGUGAAAUGCGUAGAUAUCGGAAGGAACAUCAGUGGCGAAAGCGACUUCCUGGACCAAUACUGACGCUCAUGUGCGAAAGCGUGGGGAGCAAACAGGAUUAGAUACCCUGGUAGUCCACGCCAUAAACGAUGACAACUGGAUGCCGGGAGGGUCUGCCCCUCGGUGUCGUAGCUAACGCGUUAAGUUGUCCGCCUGGGGAGUACGGCCGCAAGGUUG
RNAcentral lists this ribosomal RNA (371 nucleotides) under uncultured organism. Its description in RNAcentral is "bacterial SSU rRNA". It matches the Rfam family "Bacterial small subunit ribosomal RNA", at positions 526 to 896 of the family's 1533-position model. The record is from RNAcentral.